GCGACAGUAGGUUGGUCGUGCCACCGGUACGUACUGGUCUCACUGAUUCCUCCUUCCUGAAGAACCGUAAUGCCAUUAAUUUGGUGUUACGGGGAAACAGGACUGUUACUUUGAAAAAAUUAGAGUGUUUAAAGCAAGCUAACGCUUGAAUACAUUAGCAUGGAAUAAUGAAAUAGGACGAUCGAUCCUAUUUUGUUGGUUUCUAGGAUUGACGUA
This 216-nucleotide ribosomal RNA is filed under the name Glomeromycotina sp. Its description in RNAcentral is "partial small subunit ribosomal RNA". The stretch from base 40 to 216 matches the Rfam family "Eukaryotic small subunit ribosomal RNA", at positions 686 to 864 of the family's 1831-position model. Lineage: Eukaryota; Fungi; Glomeromycota. The record is from RNAcentral.